AAGUCGUAACAAGGUUUCCGUAGGUGAACCUGCGGAAGGAUCAUUAUCACGUAUCCACGUAUCAACCAUUGUGAACUAGUGCCCUACCUUUGGGAUUUUUUUGGAUAGAGUUGUUAUAAUAGAACGUUUCGAAAGAAGGAAUAACGGUGAUUUGAAGGUUAUUCUAGUUUUAUUAUGACCUACAGUUUUACACUGUCUGUCUGGAUUCCAAAGUGUAUUUUUUUUCUUCAAAUCAUUCAUUAACCAUUUAAACCUAAUCUUCAUUAAUGUUUAUGAACUGAGUGUAUUUCUUACUCAAGUAACAUUGAGAAGAAAUAAAAGAUAUUACGAAACAUAAGAACAACUCUUAGCAACGGAUAUCUUGGCUCUC
This 370-nucleotide unclassified non-coding RNA is filed under the name fungal sp. Its description in RNAcentral is "partial internal transcribed spacer region". The stretch from base 1 to 46 matches the Rfam family "Eukaryotic small subunit ribosomal RNA", at positions 1786 to 1831 of the family's 1831-position model. The record is from RNAcentral. Lineage: Eukaryota; Fungi.